RNAcentral lists this ribosomal RNA (219 nucleotides) under uncultured bacterium. RNAcentral's name for it is "partial 16S ribosomal RNA". It matches the Rfam family "Bacterial small subunit ribosomal RNA", at positions 979 to 1190 of the family's 1533-position model. The record is from RNAcentral.
CACGCUUGACAUGUCUCGUAUGGUUUCCAGAGAUGGAUUCCUUCAGUUCGGCUGGCGAGAACACAGGUGCUGCAUGGCUGUCGUCAGCUCGUGUCGUGAGAUGUUGGGUUAAGUCCCGCAACGAGCGCAACCCUCGCUACUAGUUGCUACCAGGUUAAGCUGAGCACUCUAGUGGAACUGCCGGUGGCAAGGCCGGAGGAAGGUGGGAUGACGUCAAGU